This 303-nucleotide ribosomal RNA is filed under the name uncultured bacterium. RNAcentral describes it as "partial 16S ribosomal RNA". It matches the Rfam family "Bacterial small subunit ribosomal RNA", at positions 507 to 809 of the family's 1533-position model. The record is from RNAcentral.
AGCAGUAGCCGCGUAAUACGUAGGUCCCGAGCGUUGUCCGGAUUUAUUGGGCGUAAAGGGAGCGCAGGCGGUUUAGUAAGUCUGAAGUUAAAGGCUGUGGCUUAACCAUAGUACGCUUUGGAAACUGUUUAACUUGAGUGCAAGAGGGGAGAGUGGAAUUCCAUGUGUAGCGGUGAAAUGCGUAGAUAUAUGGAGGAACACCGGUGGCGAAAGCGGCUCUCUGGCUUGUAACUGACGCUGAGGCUCGAAAGCGUGGGGAGCAAACAGGAUUAGAGACCCCAGUAGUCCCUGUCUCUUAUACAC